This is a non-coding RNA of Canis lupus familiaris (dog), 145 nucleotides long. The record is from RefSeq and is marked provisional. NCBI's taxonomy places the organism in Eukaryota, Metazoa, Chordata, Mammalia, Carnivora, Canidae.
GGUGCUCAGCCACGCUACAAGAGGCGGGCCUAGUUUGCGGCAUCUAAUUGGCAGAGCGUUGGGCGAGCUUUGCUCGCUGAUUGGUCGAGGUAGCUGCCGGAAAGGGCCCAGCCUUGAGAUGGGAGAGCGGAGGCGUUCUGUGGGC